UACGUAGGUGGCAAGCGUUGUCCGGAUUUACUGGGUGUAAAGGGCGUGUAGCCGGAAAGGCAAGUCAGAUGUGAAAUCCACGGGCUCAACUCGUGAACUGCAUUUGAAACUGUUUUUCUUGAGUAUCGGAGAGGCAAUCGGAAUUCCUAGUGUAGCGGUGAAAUGCGUAGAUAUUAGGAGGAACACCAGUGGCGAAGGCGGAUUGCUGGACGACAACUGACGGUGAGGCGCGAAAGCGUGGGGAGCAAACAGG
Molecule: ribosomal RNA, 253 nt
Filed under: Oscillibacter ruminantium GH1
Lineage: Bacteria; Bacillati; Bacillota; Clostridia; Eubacteriales; Oscillospiraceae
Description: partial 16S ribosomal RNA
Rfam family: Bacterial small subunit ribosomal RNA
Source: RNAcentral